Molecule: ribosomal RNA, 477 nt
Filed under: uncultured bacterium
Lineage: Bacteria
Description: partial 16S ribosomal RNA
Rfam family: Bacterial small subunit ribosomal RNA
Source: RNAcentral
GACGAACGCUGGCGGCGUGCUUAACACAUGCAAGUCGAGCGAUGAAGCCCCUUCGGGGGUGGAUUAGCGGCGGACGGGUGAGUAACACGUGGGUAACCUGCCUCAAAGAGGGGGAUAACCUCCCGAAAGGGAGAUUAAUACCGCAUAAAGCAGAAUUCCACAUGGAGUUUUGAUGAAAGGAGUAAUCCGCUUUGAGAUGGACCCGCGGCGCAUUAGCUAGUUGGUGGGGUAACGGCCUACCAAGGCAACGAUGCGUAGCCGACCUGAGAGGGUGAUCGGCCACAUUGGAACUGAGAGACGGUCCAGACUCCUACGGGAGGCAGCAGUGGGGAAUAUUGCACAAUGGGCGAAAGCCUGAUGCAGCAACGCCGCGUGAGUGAUGAAGGUCUUCGGAUUGUAAAGCUCUGUCUUCUGGGACGACAAUGACGGUACCAGAGGAGGAAGCCACGGCUAACUACGUGCCAGCCGCCGCCGUAA